AGAGUUUGAUCAUGGCUCAGAUUGAACGCUGGCGGCAUGCCUUACACAUGCAAGUCGAACGGCAGCGCGGGGCAACCUGGCGGCGAGUGGCGAACGGGUGAGUAAUAUAUCGGAACGUGCCCUGGAGUGGGGGAUAACGCAGCGAAAGUUGCGCUAAUACCGCAUACGAUCUAAGGAUGAAAGCAGGGGACCGCAAGGCCUUGUGCUCCUGGAGCGGCCGAUAUCUGAUUAGCUAGUUGGUGGGGUAAAGGCCUACCAAGGCAUCGAUCAGUAGCUGGUCUGAGAGGACGACCAGCCACACUGGAACUGAGACACGGUCCAGACUCCUACGGGAGGCAGCAGUGGGGAAUUUUGGACAAUGGGCGAAAGCCUGAUCCAGCAAUGCCGCGUGAGUGAAGAAGGCCUUCGGGUUGUAAAGCUCUUUUGUCAGGGAAGAAACGGUGCGGGCUAAUAUCCCGCACUAAUGACGGUACCUGAAGAAUAAGCACCGGCUAACUACGUGCCAGCAGCCGCGGUAAUACGUAGGGUGCAAGCGUUAAUCGGAAUUACUGGGCGUAAAGCGUGCGCAGGCGGUUUUGUAAGUCUGUCGUGAAAUCCCCGGGCUCAACCUGGGAAUUGCGAUGGAGACUGCAAGGCUAGAAUCUGGCAGAGGGGGGUAGAAUUCCACGUAGCAGUGAAAUGCGUAGAGAUGUGGAGGAACACCGAUGGCGAAGGCAGCCCCCUGGGUCAAGAUUGACGCUCAUGCACGAAAGCGUGGGGAGCAAACAGGAUUAGAUACCCUAGUAGUCC
RNAcentral lists this ribosomal RNA (789 nucleotides) under uncultured bacterium. RNAcentral describes it as "bacterial SSU rRNA". It matches the Rfam family "Bacterial small subunit ribosomal RNA", at positions 8 to 796 of the family's 1533-position model. The record is from RNAcentral.